UUGGAGGGCAAGUCUGGUGCCAGCAGCCGCGGUAAUUCCAGCUCCAAUAGCGUAUAUUAAAGUUGUUGCAGUUAAAAAGCUCGUAGUUGAAUUUCGGGAUUGACGUGAUGGUCGUGCCUUAAGGGGUAUGAACUGUCGCUGUUGAUUUCUCACCUUCUGGAGAAACUUGAUGUCCUUAAUUGGGUGUCUUGCGGAUCCAGGACCUUUACCUUGAAAAAAUUAGAGUGUUUAAAGCAGGCAUUUUUGCUCGAAUACAUUAGCAUGGAAUAAUAGAAUAGGACGGCAUGGUUCUAUUUUGUUGGUUUCUAGGAUCACCGUAAUGAUUAAUAGGGAUAGUUGGGGGCAUUAGUAUUCAAUUGUCAGAGGUGAAAUUCUUGGAUUUAUUGAAGACUAACUACUGCGAAAGCAUUUGCCAAGGAUGUUUUCAUUAAUCAAGAACGAAAGUUAGGGGAUCGAAGACGAUCAGAUACCGUCGUAGUCUUAACCAUAAACUAUGCCGACUAGGAAUCAGACGAUGUUAAUUUUUUAAUGACUCGUUUGGCACCUUACGGGAAAC
This 556-nucleotide ribosomal RNA is filed under the name uncultured Glomeromycotina. Its description in RNAcentral is "SSU rRNA". It matches the Rfam family "Eukaryotic small subunit ribosomal RNA", at positions 548 to 1098 of the family's 1831-position model. Lineage: Eukaryota; Fungi; Glomeromycota. The record is from RNAcentral.